This 103-nucleotide transfer RNA is filed under the name Schizophyllum commune Tattone D. RNAcentral's name for it is "tRNA-Met". It matches the Rfam family "tRNA". From Rfam's summary of the family: Transfer RNA (tRNA) molecules are approximately 80 nucleotides in length. The record is from RNAcentral. RNAcentral also lists the same sequence under 1 other name. Lineage: Eukaryota; Fungi; Basidiomycota; Agaricomycetes; Agaricales; Schizophyllaceae.
GUCUGCAUGGCUCAGUUGGUUAGAGCGCCGGUCUCAUACGUUCGUAUGAAUUUCCUUGGGAGGUGUAAUCCGGAGAUCGCCAGUUCGAUCCUGGCUGCGGACA